RNAcentral lists this ribosomal RNA (2192 nucleotides) under Triticum aestivum (bread wheat). RNAcentral describes it as "partial small subunit ribosomal RNA". Lineage: Eukaryota; Viridiplantae; Streptophyta; Magnoliopsida; Poales; Poaceae. The record is from RNAcentral.
GCCUACAGGUAGCUGAGGGGAGGGACAGAGGGGUGUGGAUAUUUGGGGGUGGGGACUGCGUCGCCUCCGGUGUAGUCCGGGCGGCACUGUAGGGGACUGUCAGAAGGGGAAAGAGCGAUGGCUUCCAUGCGCGUGGGCGAGGAGCGGAGGCAGUAGGUCUGGACCUAAAGUCAAUGGUGAAGGAGUUAAGAGGGACGUAGCAUCGGCCAGCGUUCGGGAUGGCUAGCUGCUCUAGCUCGGCUCGCUAACGGAUCGGGCACGGGCAUGAGUCAAGCUAGAAACGCUCAUCUAAGUCGCGGCGAGUCAAGCCAAAAGCGCUCAUCUAAGUCGCGUCGAGUCAAGCUAAAAAAAUGCUCAUCUAAGUCGUUUCAAAAAGACUUAAAAGCACCGUUAAAAAGGGACUAGACCGGCGAGGUUAGUCGGUACCACUUCCUCCGCGGGUGGUGUGGCUCGCGGUUCCCGUUCCCGUUCCCGCGGCGCAGGCGGAGGCGCGGCUGCGGCGGCAGGUUCAGGCGGGGGCCUAGCCGGUCCGCGUUCUCCCACAUAUUCUUCUUCUUCCGGCUAGGCCUCUUCUUCUUCCGCCGGCGGCGGCGACGUCAGCGCCGGAGGCGGCUGCGUGGACGAAGCCCCGGGUGCGGCCACCAAGGGCGAGGCCGGCUGCAGCCCCGAAGCCGGCGGGAACACCAGCGGCUCUUGCCGCCGCGACUACCCUUCUACCAGCGGUUCCGGUUGCCACUACCGCUAUUCAGGCAGCGGUUCCGGUUGCCACUACCGCUAUUCAGGCAGCGGCUCUUGUUCCCACUACCGUCAUUCAGGCAGCGGCUCUUGUUCCCACUACCGUCAUUCUACCCGUCACCCUUGUCGUCACGACUGUCCUUCUCCCCGUCCUUCCUAUUCUACUCCCCCUCCCGCUUCCCCCUUCCUGUCCCCUCCCACUUGGGCUUCCACCUCCUCUUCCUCUUCUUCCUGCUACGUCACCCCCUCCUCUCCCCGUCACGACCCAAAUAGAAGUACACGUCGCGUUUCUGCUUCGGCCUCACGAAGGUCUUGUCACACAAACCGAACGGGUUCCCCUUCUAUCUACACCACCUCUUCUAGGCUGGUCCCCGCUUCGACAAGGACAUACUGAAACUGGACUUCGAAGAGAUACCCCACAUGUUCCGUUGCCGUUCUCCUCCCUACCUAGAACACGCUGCACGCAAGUUACCCUUUAAGGGACGAGUCCAGUUUAAGUCCUAACUAUUUCUAACAGAAGGCGAAGGACUCUCAUCAAAGUUCGUACGGUAAUUCCUCUUGAUGUUAAGUUUCCCUUUUAAGUGGGUUCUCGAGUUAAGAUCUGUUCAGGCAUUCGAUGAUCGUGAUAUGUUCGGUCAAUUGUAUGUAGCCGGUAGAAGGGUUGUACAAGUUCUUCAAGCAGCCUGUUUGGCACAACUCCCCGCGUACGGAGUGAUACAACUUCUUUCCGCUGUCGGUAUACUAAUACUUCUUUCCGCCGACGGUGCUGUAGUACUUCUUUACGUUGUGGGUGUUAAACAACUUCCUUCCUCUAAUCGGAUACUAAUACUUCUUUCUUCCGGUAGUGAGGUACAACUCCUUUAAGCUGCGGGUGUCAAACAACUUCUUCAAGUCGGUGGAUGUAUGAUAGUACAACGAGGACGAGGAGUACCAAGAAUGGUAGGUGUAGUUCGAUUACAGUAAAUACUUUCCCGAGGUCCACUAGGGCGAUCGUCCCACCUAGGUAAGGAAGGUUCUCUGAUGUCCGACGGCGGUGUCCUCCAUCGGCGCGUGGGGUCGAUGCGACUGCUCUAGAUGGCACCACGACGAAUGGGUCGGCGAGUCCUGGGCAGGAUGCGCCGGUCCGGGCGACGAAUGGGCCGUUUGGAGGUCCCCGGACGACGAAGUUCCCACGGCCACAGGAGGGAGAUGAGCAAGCGGCCUCGUGGCCGCAUGUCUACUAGCGAUGUCGCCGACGAGACUUUAGCCAGGACUGGUCGUACUAAGCGACCAACCACCACAUCGAUCGCAGCAGAAGACUAUGUAUGACAUCAGCAAACAACCUAUGGACUGAACCUACAGCAAACGGUGUUCACACCAUGACCUUGCACAGCAAACGGUGUUCACACCACGACCUUGCACAGCAAGCGACAAUUUGUUCACUGAAAGGACUGUUCACGACGGCACCAGAACGUUCA